AACGUAGGACGCAAGCGUUAUCCGGAGUUACUGGGCGUAAAGAGCUCGUAGGCGGCUUGUCGCGUCGGCUGUGAAAUCCCGAGGCUCAACCUCGGGUCUGCAGUCGAUACGAGCAAACUAGAGUGUUGCAGGGGAGACUGGAAUUCCUGGUGUAGCGGUGAAAUGCGCAGAUAUCAGGAGGAACACCGGUGGCGAAGGCGGGUCUCUGGGCAGCAACUGACGCUGAGGAGCGAAAGCGUGGGGAGCGAACAGG
Molecule: ribosomal RNA, 253 nt
Filed under: uncultured bacterium
Lineage: Bacteria
Description: partial 16S ribosomal RNA
Rfam family: Bacterial small subunit ribosomal RNA
Source: RNAcentral